UAGAGGCAAACGGGUGGAUCCGCAGUCGGCCCGGGGAAUUCAGCGCAGCAGGCUUGGGCCACCGCGUACGCAGAGCUUCAACUCUCGGUGCGCUCCUCGCAGGCAGCGUGCACUUUCUCCGGCGUCGAGAGCCACGACCGGUUUCUGCGGCAGUCAGGAGACCAGGUAGCUGAGGCGCAAGGGGCGAGUGUUACAGGUCGCCGAGGUGGACAUGUCGCGAGACCGAGCUUGCCACGUUCAGCAGCUUCGGGCCGUCUGGGCGCAUUCAACUUGGGCUCACUGUCUCGGCAGUGUGCUCAGACCGCGUGCCCGGACGGACUCGUCACGCCGCGAACGUCUCGGGUCAGUGGCGAAUCGGUCGGUCCUCCACCCGACCCGUCUUGAAACACGGACCAAGGAGUCUAGCAUGUGCGCGAGUCAUGGGGCACGAAACCCAAAGGCGCAACGAAAGUGAAGGCCGCCUCCGGCUGGCCUAGGCAGGAUCCCGUCCCGUUCGCGGGGCGGGCGCACUGCCGGCCCGUCUCGACGGCAUCGCCCGCGAGGCGGAGCAAGAGCGCACACGCUGGGACCCGAAAGAUGGUGAACUAUGCUUGAGUAGGACGAAGUCAGAGGAAACUCUGAUGGAGGUCCGCAGCGAUUCUGACGUGCAAAUCGAUCGUCAAACUUGGGUAUAGGGGCGAAAGACUA
Molecule: ribosomal RNA, 687 nt
Filed under: Spiniapex gilsonorum
Lineage: Eukaryota; Metazoa; Mollusca; Bivalvia; Myida; Xylophagaidae
Description: partial 28S ribosomal RNA
Rfam family: Eukaryotic large subunit ribosomal RNA
Source: RNAcentral